GAUGAACGCUGGCGGCGUGCCUAAUACAUGCAAGUCGAGCGAACAGACGAGGAGCUUGCUCCUCUGACGUUAACGGCUGACGGGUGAGUAAGACGUCGAUAACCUACCUAUAAGACUGGGAUAACUUCGGGAAACCGGAGCUAAUACCAGUUAAUAUAUUGAACCGCAUGGUUCAAUAGUUAAAGACGGUUUUGCUGUCACUUAUAGAUGGAUCCGCGCCGCAUUAGCGACUUGGUAAGGUAACGGCAUACCAAGGCAACGAUACGUAGCCGACCUGAUAGGGUGAUCGGCCACACUGGAACGAAGACACGGUCCAGACUCCUACGGGAGGCAGCAGUAUGAAAUAUUCGUCAAUGGACGCAAGCCUGAUCCAGCAAGACCGCGUGAGUGAGGAUGGUCUUGGGAUCGUAAAACUCUGUUAUUAGGGAAGAAAAAAAGUGAAAGGAAGCAUGAACGUGUUGACGGUACCCAAACAGAAGGCUACGGCUAACUACGUG
This 497-nucleotide ribosomal RNA is filed under the name uncultured bacterium. RNAcentral describes it as "partial 16S ribosomal RNA". It matches the Rfam family "Bacterial small subunit ribosomal RNA", at positions 28 to 507 of the family's 1533-position model. The record is from RNAcentral.